Caenorhabditis elegans is the source of this 70-nucleotide non-coding RNA. The record is from Ensembl. NCBI's taxonomy places the organism in Eukaryota, Metazoa, Nematoda, Chromadorea, Rhabditida, Rhabditidae.
UGUUGUGUCAUAACACAAACACAGAGACAGUAUGGUGUCGGGUCGGGCGCGUCCCCCCGUUUUCCCCCCA